RNAcentral lists this microRNA (23 nucleotides) under Branchiostoma floridae (Florida lancelet). Its description in RNAcentral is "Bfl-Mir-4864_5p* (star (passenger))". Lineage: Eukaryota; Metazoa; Chordata; Leptocardii; Amphioxiformes; Branchiostomatidae. The record is from RNAcentral.
AGGGAGAUCACCUCAGGCGUACA